Molecule: unclassified non-coding RNA, 256 nt
Filed under: Ascomycota sp.
Lineage: Eukaryota; Fungi; Ascomycota
Description: partial contains small subunit ribosomal RNA, internal transcribed spacer 1, and 5.8S ribosomal RNA
Rfam family: Eukaryotic small subunit ribosomal RNA (bases 1-47)
Source: RNAcentral
AAAGUCGUAACAAGGUCUCCGUUGGUGAACCAGCGGAGGGAUCAUUACCGAGUUUUCAACUCCCAAACCCACUGUGAACAUAUACCAUUUGUUUAUUCGUUGCCUCGGCGGGUUCUACCCCCUGGAGACAGGGCGGCCAGCCCCCGCCGGCGUAACACCAAAAACCCUGAAUGUGUACCCGUUACACGGCAGUAUUACUCUGAGUCACAUCAUUUUAAAUGAAUCAAAACUUUCAACAACGGAUCUCUUGGUUCUG